GGGGGUUGGGGUUGGGGUUGUUGUUUGGAGAGAGAGGAGAGAGAAAUCUUUUUUUGUUCUUUGAUAGGUGUCAUAUCAGCUCUUUAAAUGCGAUAUCUGUUAAAAUUAGAGAAUUUGAUUUUUUUUAUUAAGUUGAUGUUUUUAAAUUUUUGUGAAUUGCAUUGUUACCGAAGUCAAGAAAUGGUGAGUGAUAUCAAGCGGGGCAACGUGAUGAUCUCCAUUCAACGAGUACCAUGUUGGUAGAACAAAGCAAAGCUUCAACCUAGGUGUCUAAAAUACAGGGGUAUGAGGUGUUAUAGGAUAUUACACUUUAGAUUUUGAGAAGAAUUCCGGUGAUUUAAUGGUAAGACCAUAGAAGAUUGUCUUUCGCUCUCCUUGUCCAGGCUUAUUGGAGCAGCUGCUCUUUUGAUCAGGUAGACAUGGUUUGUAGAUGCAAGCCUACUCUUAAUGACAGCUACGGGUUGAUUUAUUCUCUGAUUAAAUUGGAGAAUUACAUUGAGCCUACUCUUAAUGACAGCUAUGGGGUGACUUAUUCUCUGAUUAAAUUGGAGAUUGACAUUGAACAAUUUUGGGGUUUUUUAAUGUUGGUCUUUGAUGCGUCUUGAUCGUCUUCUCCUCCAUCUACAUUUGAUUAAAUAAAACGAUUUUGUUGUUUUAUGCGAAUAAUAUAUGCUUAAAAUUGGAAAGAAUUAUGAUAUUAUAUCCCAUGUUUUAUCUACCACAAUAUGCAUUUAUGCUAAUAUUUUUUGCUUUUAUUUGUGAUAGGGAUUUAUGGGCCA
Molecule: unclassified non-coding RNA, 779 nt
Filed under: Hevea brasiliensis (rubber tree)
Lineage: Eukaryota; Viridiplantae; Streptophyta; Magnoliopsida; Malpighiales; Euphorbiaceae
Source: RNAcentral